UUUUUAAUAGUAUCACAUGAAGCCUUCAGGCGCUGACACAACAUUUCAAGAAUAACUUUUGAAGUGGAUAAAUGCGUUCUUAUCUUUCGGUGCUGCCCACUUUCUUGGUUGCGUCUGCCUUCUGUAUCCUGGCAGAUGGCGUACAUUCCUUAGAUGUAUUAUUGGUAGCUUUAGUGGUGGUUAGACAAUUAUCAUUGUCUCUCCAUCUGCACCUUUUUCUCACAAGUGUUACCAUGUAGGUUUUCCAGUGAGAUAUGAUGUUGCCUAUAUGUUCUGAUUGGAUGUUUAGCAUCAUUCCUGUUGAAGUAAGUAGUCU
This 316-nucleotide long non-coding RNA is filed under the name Setaria italica (foxtail millet). RNAcentral describes it as "long non-coding RNA (SITA_LNC001717)". Lineage: Eukaryota; Viridiplantae; Streptophyta; Magnoliopsida; Poales; Poaceae. The record is from RNAcentral.